RNAcentral lists this unclassified non-coding RNA (200 nucleotides) under Helotiales sp. RNAcentral describes it as "partial internal transcribed spacer 2". The record is from RNAcentral. Lineage: Eukaryota; Fungi; Ascomycota; Leotiomycetes; Helotiales.
UUAAGUUCAGCGGGUAUCCCUACCUGAUCCGAGGUCAACCUGUAAAAAUUGGGGGUUCUGGCAAGUGACCGGAGGGACCCUAUAGCGAGGAGAUUUACUACGCUUAGAGCCCACCGGCACCGCCACUGAUUUUAGGAGCCGCGGGACCGCGAACUCCAAUACCAAGCUAGGCUUGAGUGGUUAUAAUGACGCUCGAACAG